RNAcentral lists this long non-coding RNA (1534 nucleotides) under Castor canadensis (American beaver). RNAcentral describes it as "lncRNA (ENSCCNG00000003066.1)". The record is from RNAcentral. Lineage: Eukaryota; Metazoa; Chordata; Mammalia; Rodentia; Castoridae.
AGCUAUUAUCUGUGCUUUCCACUUUCCCAGGGUCCCACACGCUGCAUUAUAACCUCACAGUGAGGUCCCAAGAUGGAUAUGUAGAGCAAAGGUACUUUGCUGUGUGUUAUUUCAAUGAUCAGCCCAUCCUGCACUAUGACAGUAAAAAAAGGCAGGGCAGAAGUUCAGAAGCAUUGGGAAACUGUCCUGGUUGCUAAGGACCAGAAAAAUGACAGCCAGGCCUUGACAGAGAGUGGAAAGUACCUAAAAGUAACCAUGGCAGAUAUCAAGGACCAGCAAGAACAGGAAAGAGAGACUGUGACCCACAGUGAGACCUUGGAGCACAGCAUCACCCGGAAAUGCAUUUUCAUCUCUGUGGGUAUGGCUGCUGUCUUUGUGGUGAUUCCUCUUCUUCUGUGUCGUUGUUAUAAGUGGAGGAAUACAGCAUCAGCUGUAGAGGGUUCAGCUCAUGAGUCUAACAGUCCUGGGUCAACACCAGAAGGGGCCAAGAGAUCACAAUGGCACUGCAGAGCUGAGGCUGACAUUCAGGACUGAGCCUGUGGGGCACAUCUGACCCGAAGAGUUGGAGCCCUCAUGUGAUGAAGCAGAACUUUUGGGUGACAUCAGGGGAGGGGACAGGAAUUGUUUUUCAGGGUUUCCUAGUGAUGAGCAGUAGGGGGUCAGUCUACUUCUGGGCUGAAGGGACUGCUGGGUAAAUGUGGACUGAGUUGGUAAAGAAUAAGUGGACACAGAAUGUUUGUGAAUCAAACACUAGCAUCUGUGCCACCUGGUCAGACUGAAGCAGGCAGGGCAGGAGAGAAGAUGAUACUCCCCAUCCUGAUUUCUGUCCUUUCUGACUCCCAGACUAGGAACCCAUAGAGGGCAGUAAUAUUCUUGGUCAGGGCGAGCUAAGCCACAUCCAGGUAACACAUUGUGGAUAGCAGGCAUCAGGGGACACCAGUUGAAUGACUUUGAUAGUCAUAGGAGCCCUCUGCCUGUGUGGGUGACAGUCACAGGGCUGCCUAGAAACAGAAGGAUGAGGGACCCACAUUGAGUCAUGUUUCCUUGUUAUCUGGGUUUAAGCUCAUCUCCUCUACCUCCAGAGUGCUGGGAUUACAUGAGCAUGUGAUCACACCUGGCUUACUUAUCUAUCUUGAGAUGUGUUUCUUGAUCUGUCUUUCUCAUGUUUGUAUUUUGAGUUGAUGUCACUCACACUUGUGCAUUAAAGCAUUUAUGUAUUAUGGUUAUCUUCAAAUGUCAUUUGUUGUAUUCAGUUUUCAUCACCCAAAAACGUUCAUAUCCAUUGAGCUUUUAUUUUAAUUUUAUUCCAAACUACAAUUGCACCUAUUUAAAAGAGCCAAACAUUUGUGCAAUAUUUCUCAUGAAAAAUAAGAAUCCUCUCUGAUCCUUCUAAAUUUCUCACUUUCUAGAGGCUACUGCUUUCAGCCUUCGAGUUGAUUCUUUUGACUUGUACUUUCAUAAGUCUCAAUGCAAUGCUGUUAAGCCUGCUUCAUGUUUUGUUUGCAGCCAUUGUCUGUGGCAGUGCACCAGGGCU